RNAcentral lists this ribosomal RNA (333 nucleotides) under Triticum aestivum (bread wheat). Its description in RNAcentral is "partial small subunit ribosomal RNA". The record is from RNAcentral. Lineage: Eukaryota; Viridiplantae; Streptophyta; Magnoliopsida; Poales; Poaceae.
AUGACGAGACUCCGAUCACUGGAGCUGCAUGGAUUCAAACGUAGCGAACACAAGGCUGCAUUGGAGAGUGCUCUCACAAGGAUGCAUCUCCUUGGCAACUUGAAGCUGCAAGGUGAUAAGAUCCAUUCAUGUGUCUUCAACGGGCAGCAUCUUCAAAAUCUUCAGAUAGUAGUGCUAGAUGGCACUGUCAAAUGGCCUGAGGCUGGAUGGGAUGUUCGCAAGGUCCGACCGAACCUUGUUGAGCUUACAGUGGUCAAGCAUAGCAGUGAGGAUGUGCCCCAACACAUCAAGGACGAACUACGGGAUAUGCUGAAGGAAACAAUUGCUAUCUAG